AAAUAUAUACGCGCGCGCAGGGGGCCGGCCAGAGACAGAGAGAGAGUCGAGACAAAGCGGCGAGGAGGGUCUAGGCGCGCACGCAAGGACAAGGGCAAGAGUAGGCCGCCGCAGCAGAAGGGGGUCUAAGCUGACGGGGAAGGCUGAGCUUAGAGCCGCUAAAGGGUUCGCUAUUACCGCCUCCUCCCCGUGUUCCACCGCGAGUUGCACAUGCUGGAGUCGUUGCCGGACCGCGCGGUCGAGAGGUGGAGGAAGGAGCCGUUCGGGUAGCUCCGGUAGACCGUGUGCCCGCACCACCACAUGCCGUUGCUCAUGAAGAAGCCCCCGCCCUAGGUCCGCCGCGGCCGCCCCCGCUGCGUCAUGCCGGCGGGGCGCGCCCAGCAGCUGGACCCGCAGUGGGUGGACGGGGCGCUCCAGAAGCUCCUGAUGGAGGCGCUGUAGCGCGGCGCGAUGUGGCGGCGGUGGAUGUCGGACGAGUGGGUGUUGACGUUGUUGAAGUCGUUGCUCCAGCGCGUCAAGGAGCAGCCGCGGCCCUAGGGGCUGAUGUAGGAGUUGGACGGGUCGCUCCAGUACAGGUCGGGGUACCCGCGGUACUAGUACGGGUACUAGGUCUUGGAGCUCCGGUGCGAGUCCUUGUUGCGGCGCGGGGUCUGGUGGGUCAAGCACGGGUGCGGCCGGAGGCAGAGCCACGGCGUCGGCGGCCGAAGCCGGCCGUUUUGGGGAUGACGGUUACGAUCAAGAUGUCGGCGGCGACGGCGACGAUCACGCCGCGGGCGACCGAGAAGAAGGCUCUUUCUUCUUCUCUUCUUCCAGCUCUUCGUCUGAGGCCUCUUUCGGCGGCGCGGCCGUGGCGGCUGACACCGACUGGGAGAGCCGUCGCGCUCCCCCUUCCACGUCCUCCUCCACUACUCCCUCAAACGCCGCGAGUACCGCUCACCGUGCGACGCCCGCUCGCUCCGCCGCCGCGACCGGUACGCGGCCCAGUACCUCGCGGUGCCGCUGCCGCGGUCAUACGUCCGGAUCACCGGACUUUCAUAAAAUGUGUGGAAGCUAGAAACUACGUUGACGUUUGACUAUCAUUAACCUUGCGAACGAAUGAACAUAACGUCGUACCUUGAGUUAAAAUAAACAGACUAAACAAGACUACCACGCCUUAAUAUACUAAUAUACCAAAGAAGUCACGAUCUAAAGAACCAAGUGACGAUUUAACCCAAAAUAGGGUCCGAUUCUAGUAAGACGACUCCUUUAUAUACGGAUUGUUUCAGGACUAUAUUAUAGACCUAAUCGUCGUUUCAGUAUACUGACAAUUGUUACGACUAAGUUAGUCGUCAUCCUCAUCGUCCG
This 1344-nucleotide ribosomal RNA is filed under the name Triticum aestivum (bread wheat). RNAcentral's name for it is "partial small subunit ribosomal RNA". Lineage: Eukaryota; Viridiplantae; Streptophyta; Magnoliopsida; Poales; Poaceae. The record is from RNAcentral.